GAGUUUGAUCGUGGCUCAGAUUGAACGCUGGCGGCAUGCCUUACACAUGCAAGUCGAACGGCAGCAUGAUCUAGCUUGCUAGAUUGAUGGCGAGUGGCGAACGGGUGAGUAAUACAUCGGAACGUGCCCUGUAGUGGGGGAUAACUAGUCGAAAGAUUAGCUAAUACCGCAUACGACCUGAGGGUGAAAGUGGGGGACCGCAAGGCCUCAUGCUAUAGGAGCGGCCGAUGUCUGAUUAGCUAGUUGGUGGGGUAAAGGCCCACCAAGGCGACGAUCAGUAGCUGGUCUGAGAGGACGAUCAGCCACACUGGGACUGAGACACGGCCCAGACUCCUACGGGAGGCAGCAGUGGGAAUUUGGACAAUGGGCGAAAGCCUGAUCCAGCAAUGCCGCGUGUGUGAAGAAGGCC
Molecule: ribosomal RNA, 409 nt
Filed under: uncultured microorganism
Description: bacterial SSU rRNA
Rfam family: Bacterial small subunit ribosomal RNA
Source: RNAcentral